AGGGAAUCUUCCACAAUGGACGCAAGUCUGAUGGAGCAACGCCGCGUGAGUGAAGAAGGUCUUCGGAUCGUAAAGCUCUGUUGUUGGUGAAGAAGGAUAGAGGCAGUAACUGGUCUUUAUUUGACGGUAAUCAACCAGAAAGUCACGGCUAACUACGUGCCAGCAGCCGCGGUAAUACGUAGGUGGCAAGCGUUGUCCGGAUUUAUUGGGCGUAAAGCGAGCGCAGGCGGAAUGAUAAGUCUGAUGUGAAAGCCCACGGCUCAACCGUGGAACUGCAUCGGAAACUGUCAUUCUUGAGUGCAGAAGAGGAGAGUGGAACUCCAUGUGUAGCGGUGGAAUGCGUAGAUAUAUGGAAGAACACCAGUGGCGAAGGCGGCUCUCUGGUCUGCAACUGACGCUGAGGCUCGAAAGCAUGGGUAGCGAACAGGAUUAGAUACCCUGGUAGUCCAUGCCGUAAACGAUGAGCGCUAGGUGUUGGGGACUUUCCGGUCCUCAGUGCCGCAGCAAACGCAUUAAGCGCUCCGCCUGG
This 529-nucleotide ribosomal RNA is filed under the name uncultured bacterium. RNAcentral describes it as "partial 16S ribosomal RNA". It matches the Rfam family "Bacterial small subunit ribosomal RNA", at positions 356 to 876 of the family's 1533-position model. The record is from RNAcentral.